Non-coding RNA from Xyrichtys novacula (pearly razorfish), 4984 nucleotides. Lineage: Eukaryota; Metazoa; Chordata; Actinopteri; Labriformes; Labridae. The record is from the annotation of a GenBank genome assembly.
UUAGGGUUAGGGUUAGGGUUGGAGUUAGGGUUAGUGUUGGAGCUAGGGUUAGGGUUGGGCUUGGAGCUAGGAUUUUUCUGAGUGCACUGAACCAACUCCCGAGUCUCUAGGACGUUCCUAAAAAAAUUUGAUUUCUUCCCAUAGGAAUGCAUGGGUUAGGGUUAGGCUUAGGGUUGGAGCUAGGGUUAGGGUUAGGGUUAGGGUUGGAGUUAGGGUUAGUGUUGGAGCUAGGGUUAGGGUUGGGCUUGGAGCUAGGAUUUUUCUGAGUGCACUGAACCAACUCCCGAGUCUCUAGGACGUUCCUAAAAAAAAUUUGAUUUUUUCCCAUAGGAAUGCAUGGGUUAGGGUUAGGGUUAGGGUUGGAGCUAGGGUUAGGGUUAGGGUUAGGGUUGGAGUUAGGGUUAGUGUUGGAGCUAGGGUUAGGGUUGGGCUUGGAGCUAGGAUUUUUCUGAGUGCACUGAACCAACUCCAGAGUCUGUAGGAUGUUCCUAAAAAAAUUUGAUUUUUUCCCAUAGGAAUGCAUGGGUUAGGGUUAGGGUUAGGGUUGGAGCUAGGGUUAGGGUUAGGGUUAGGGUUGGAGUUAGGGUUAGUGUUGGAGCUAGGGUUAGGGUUGGGCUUGGAGCUAGGAUUUUUCUGAGUGCAAUGAACCAACUCCCGAGUCUCUAGGACGUUCCUAAAAAAAUUUGAUUUUUUCCCAUGGGAAUGCAUGGGUUAGGGUUAGGGUUGGAGCUAGGGUUAGGGUUAGGGUUAGGGUUGGAGUUAGGGUUAGUGUUGGAGCUAGGGUUAGGGUUGGGCUUGGAGCUAGGAUUUUUCUGAGUGCACUGAACCAACUCCCGAGUCUCUAGGACGUUCCUAAAAAAAUUUGAUUUUUUCCCAUAGGAAUGCAUGGGUUAGGGUUAGGGUUAGGGUUGGAGCUAGGGUUAGGGUUAGGGUUAGGGUUGGAGUUAGGGUUAGUGUUGGAGCUAGGGUUAGGGUUGGGCUUGGAGCUAGGAUUUUUCUGAGUGCACUGAACCAACUCCCGAGUCUCUAGGACGUUCCUAAAAAAAUUUGAUUUCUUCCCAUAGGAAUGCAUGGGUUAGGGUUAGGGUUAGGGUUGGAGCUAGGGUUAGGGUUAGGGUUAGGGUUGGAGUUAGGGUUAGUGUUGGAGCUAGGGUUAGGGUUGGGCUUGGAGCUAGGAUUUUUCUGAGUGCACUGAACCAACUCCCGAGUCUCUAGGACGUUCCUAAAAAAAUUUGAUUUUUUCCCAUAGGAAUGCAUGGGUUAGGGUUAGGGUUAGGGUUAGGGUUAGGGUUAGGGUUGGAGUUAGGGUUAGUGUUGGAGCUAGGGUUAGGGUUGGGCUUGGAGCUAGGAUUUUUCUGAGUGCACUGAACCAACUCCAGAGUCUGUAGGAUGUUCCUAAAAAAAUUUGAUUUUUUCCCAUAGGAAUGCAUGGGUUAGGGUUAGGGUUAGGGUUGGAGCUAGGGUUAGGGUUAGGGUUAGGGUUGGAGUUAGGGUUAGUGUUGGAGCUAGGGUUAGGGUUGGGCUUGGAGCUAGGAUUUUUCUGAGUGCACUGAACCAACUCCCGAGUCUGUAGGAUGUUCCUAAAAAAAUUUGAUUUUUUCCCAUAGGAAUGCAUGGGUUAGGGUUAGGGUUAGGGUUAGGGUUGGAGCUAGGGUUAGGGUUAGGGUUAGGGUUGGAGUUAGGGUUAGUGUUGGAGCUAGGGUGAGCGUUGGGCUUGGAGCUAGGAUUUUUCUGAGUGCAAUGAACCAACUCCCGAGUCUCUAGGACGUUCCUAAAAAAAAUUGAUUUUUUCCCAUGGGAAUGCAUGGGUUAGGGUUAGGGUUAGGGUUGGAGCUAGGGUUAGGGUUAGGGUUAGGGUUGGAGUUAGGGUUAGUGUUGGAGCUAGGGUUAGGGUUGGGCUUGGAGCUAGGAUUUUUCUGAGUGCACUGAACCAACUCCCGAGUCUCUAGGACGUUCCUAAAAAAAUUUGAUUUUUUCCCAUAGGAAUGCAUGGGUUAGGGUUAGGGUUAGGGUUGGAGCUAGGGUUAGGGUUAGGGUUAGGGUUGGAGUUAGGGUUAGUGUUGGAGCUAGGGUUAGGGUUGGGCUUGGAGCUAGGAUUUUUCUGAGUGCACUGAACCAACUCCCGAGUCUCUAGGACGUUCCUAAAAAAAUUUGAUUUUUUCCCAUGGGAAUGCAUGGGUUAGGGUUAGGUAGGGUUAGGGUUGGAGCUAGGGUUAGGGUUAGGGUUAGGGUUGGAGUUAGGGUUAGUGUUGGAGCUAGGGUUAGGGUUGGGCUUGGAGCUAGGAUUUUUCUGAGUGCACUGAACCAACUCCCGAGUCUCUAGGACGUUCCUAAAAAAAUUUGAUUUUUCCCAUAGGAAUGCAUGGGUUAGGGUUAGGGUUAGGGUUGGAGCUAGGGUUAGGGUUAGGGUUAGGGUUGGAGUUAGGGUUAGUGUUGGAGCUAGGGUUAGGGUUGGGCUUGGAGCUAGGAUUUUUCUGAGUGCACUGAACCAACUCCCGAGUCUCUAGGACGUUCCUAAAAAAUUUGAUUUUUUCCCAUAGGAAUGCAUGGGUUAGGGUUAGGGUUAGGGUUGGAGCUAGGGUUAGGGUUAGGGUUAGGGUUGGAGUUAGGGUUAGUGUUGGAGCUAGGGUUAGGGUUGGGCUUGGAGCUAGGAUUUUUCUGAGUGCACUGAACCAACUCCUGAGUCUCUAGGACGUUCCUAAAAAAAUUUGAUUUUUUCCCAUAGGAAUGCAUGGGUUAGGGUUAGGGUUAGGGUUGGAGCUAGGGUUAGGGUUAGGGUUAGGGUUGGAGUUAGGGUUUGUGUUGGAGCUAGGGUUAGGGUUGGGCUUGGAGCUAGGAUUUUUCUGAGUGCACUGAACCAACUCCCGAGUCUCUAGGACGUUCCUAAAAAAAUUUGAUUUCUUCCCAUGGGAAUGCAUGGGUUAGGGUUAGGGUUAGGGCUGGAGCUAGGGUUAGGGUUAGGGUUAGGGUUGGAGUUAGGGUUAGUGUUGGAGCUAGGGUUAGGGUUGGGCUUGGAGCUAGGAUUUUUCUGAGUGCACUGAACCAACUCCCGAGUCUGUAGGAUGUUCCUAAAAAAAUUUGAUUUUUUCCCAUAGGAAUGCAUGGGUUAGGGUUAGGGUUAGGGUUAGGGUUGGAGCUAGGGUUAGGGUUAGGGUUAGGGUUGGAGUUAGGGUUAGUGUUGGAGCUAGGGUUAGGGUUGGGCUUGGAGCUAGGAUUUUUCUGAGUGCACUGAACCAACUCCCGAGUCUCUAGGACGUUCCUAAAAAAAUUUGAUUUUUUCCCAUGGGAAUGCAUGGGUUAGGGUUAGGGUUAGGGUUGGAGCUAGGGUUAGGGUUAGGGUUAGGGUUGGAGUUAGGGUUAGUGUUGGAGCUAGGGUUAGGGUUGGGCUUGGAGCUAGGAUUUUUCUGAGUGCACUGAACCAACUCCCGAGUCUCUAGGACGUUCCUAAAAAAAUUUGAUUUUUUCCCAUAGGAAUGCAUGGGUUAGGGUUAGGGUUAGGGUUGGAGCUAGGGUUAGGGUUAGGGUUAGGGUUGGAGUUAGGGUUAGUGUUGGAGCUAGGGUUAGGGUUGGGCUUGGAGCUAGGAUUUUUCUGAGUGCACUGAACCAACUCCCGAGUCUGUAGGAUGUUCCUAAAAAAAUUUGAUUUUUUCCCAUAGGAAUGCAUGGGUUAGGGUUAGGGUUAGGGUUGGAGCUAGGGUUAGGGUUAGGGUUAGGGUUGGAGUUAGGGUUAGUGUUGGAGCUAGGGUUAGGGUUGGGCUUGGAGCUAGGAUUUUUCUGAGUGCAAUGAACCAACUCCCGAGUCUCUAGGACGUUCCUAAAAAAAAUUGAUUUUUUCCCAUGGGAAUGCUAGGGUUAGGGUUAGGGUUAGGGUUGGGCUUGGAGCUAGGAUUUUUCUGAGUGCACUGAACCAACUCCCGAGUCUCUAGGACGUUCCUAAAAAAAUUUGAUUUUUUCCCAUAGGAAUGCAUGGGUUAGGGUUAGGGUUAGGGUUGGAGCUAGGGUUAGGGUUAGGGUUAGGGUUGGAGUUAGGGUUAGUGUUGGAGCUAGGGUUAGGGUUGGGCUUGGAGCUAGGAUUUUUCUGAGUGCACUGAACCAACUCCCAAGUCUCUAGGACGUUCCUAAAAAAAAUUGAUUUUUUCCCAUAGGAAUGCAUGGGUUAGGGUUGGAGCUAGGGUUAGGGUUAGGGUUAGGGUUAGGGUUAGGGUUAGGGUUGGAGUUAGGGUUAGUGUUGGAGCUAGGGUUAGGGUUGGGCUUGGAGCUAGGAUUUUUCUGAGUGCAGUGAACCAACUCCCGAGUCUGUAGGAUGUUCCUAAAAAAAUUUGAUUUUUUCCCAUAGGAAUGCAUGGGUUAGGGUUAGGGUUAGGGUUGGAGCUAGGGUUAGGGUUAGGGUUAGGGUUGGAGUUAGGGUUAGUGUUGGAGCUAGGGUUAGGGUUGGGCUUGGAGCUAGGAUUUUUCUGAGUGCACUGAACCAACUCCCGAGUCUCUAGGACGUUCCUAAAAAAAUUUGAUUUUUUCCCAUAGGAAUGCAUGGGUUAGGGUUAGGGUUAGGGUUGGAGCUAGGGUUAGGGUUAGGGUUAGGGUUGGAGUUAGGGUUUGUGUUGGAGCUAGGGUUAGGGUUGGGCUUGGAGCUAGGAUUUUUCUGAGUGCACUGAACCAACUCCCGAGUCUCUAGGACGUUCCUAAAAAAAUUUGAUUUCUUCCCAUAGGAAUGCAUGGGUUAGGGUUAGGGUUAGGGUUGGAGCUAGGGUUAGGGUUAGGGUUAGGGUUAGGGUUAGGGUUGGAGUUAGGGUUAGUGUUGGAGCUAGGGUUAGGGUUGGGCUUGGAGCUAGGAUUUUUCUGAGUGCACUGAACCAACUCCCGAGUCUCUAGGACGUUCCUAAAAAAAUUUGAUUUCUUCCAAUAGGAAUGCAUGGGUUAGGGUUAGGGUUAGGGUUGGAGCUAGGGUUAGGGUUAGGGUUAGGGUUGGAGUUAGGGUUAGUGUUGG